Molecule: ribosomal RNA, 301 nt
Filed under: uncultured bacterium
Lineage: Bacteria
Description: partial 16S ribosomal RNA
Rfam family: Bacterial small subunit ribosomal RNA
Source: RNAcentral
CAGCCGCCGCGGUAAUACGUAGGUGGCAAGCGUUGUCCGGAAUUAUUGGGCGUAAAGCGCGCGCAGGUGGUUUAAUAAGUCUGAUGUGAAAGCCCACGGCUCAACCGUGGAGGGUCAUUGGAAACUGUUAAACUUGAGUGCAGGAGAGAAAAGUGGAAUUCCUAGUGUAGCGGUGAAAUGCGUAGAGACUAGGAGGAACACCAAUGGCGAAGGCGGCUUUUUGGCCUGUAACUGACACUGAGGCGCGAAAGCGUGGGGAGCAAACAGGAUUAGAUACCCGGGUAGUCCCUGUCUCUUAUAC